RNAcentral lists this ribosomal RNA (253 nucleotides) under uncultured bacterium. RNAcentral describes it as "partial 16S ribosomal RNA". It matches the Rfam family "Bacterial small subunit ribosomal RNA", at positions 524 to 776 of the family's 1533-position model. The record is from RNAcentral.
UACGUAGGGUGCAAGCGUUGUCCGGAAUUAUUGGGCGUAAAGAGCUCGUAGGCGGUUUGUCGCGUCUGCCGUGAAAACCCGAGGCUCAACCUCGGGCCUGCAGUGGGUACGGGCAGACUAGAGUGCGGUAGGGGAGAUUGGAAUUCCUGGUGUAGCGGUGGAAUGCGCAGAUAUCAGGAGGAACACCAAUGGCGAAGGCAGAUCUCUGGGCCGUAACUGACGCUGAGGAGCGAAAGCAUGGGGAGCGAACAGG